ACUGAGUCUCCUCUGGAGCUGUCUCUUCAUUUCUCUCCUGUUUUACAGAGUCUCAGACUACCUUCAUUGAGUCACAGCACAGAAGCAAAGGGGAUUAUUCUUCUACUGGAAACACAGUUUGUCCGGUUGAGUGUUUUGUUUCAACAGUAAAAGUGCAGUUCAUGUCUGAUCACUGUCUGUUACUGUUGUGUUGCUCUCCUCUGAAGCUUUCUCCAGCACAGAGGGAGGUUCCUCUGUUUCAGACUGUUCCAUUUAUCCUCCUCUUCCUAACCUCUUUCUAAAAGGCUGUGCCUCAUCUAUACCUCAUGAGCACCUCUUUUCUAUACGGUAUGACACAAUCAACCUCAUUUUACUUUGAUUUCUGGGCUUCUUAUGUUCUUAUGCUUGCCAUAAACAGGGUGAUACCUACUCUUCUGCUGUACUGUUCCCUUUAAUGUUAACUGUAUGGACUGGGUGAUGGGUAAUGAAAUGAAUCCUGAUUCACUUCUUGAAAAGAAUUGUUUCUUCUACAUCUGUUCCUCAAAAGAUUUUAGCAACUUAACUCCUGUUGAGCAAUAGAUAGAAUUAAUCAGAUAGUAUAAUCAGAUAAUUGGCACAAUUGGCAAAACAAUGAAAAAAAAAAAAAACAGGAAACCAAAUAAAAUUGACAUAAUUCUUGAUAGAAACCCA
Molecule: long non-coding RNA, 669 nt
Filed under: Astyanax mexicanus (Mexican tetra)
Lineage: Eukaryota; Metazoa; Chordata; Actinopteri; Characiformes; Acestrorhamphidae
Description: lncRNA (ENSAMXG00005003352.1)
Source: RNAcentral